AUCCAACUGACGAGUCCCAAAUAGGACAAAACAUUAGUCCUGGAU
Non-coding RNA from Schistosoma rodhaini, 45 nucleotides. NCBI's taxonomy places the organism in Eukaryota, Metazoa, Platyhelminthes, Trematoda, Strigeidida, Schistosomatidae. The record is from Rfam.